AGUUAAAAAGCUUUAUAAAAGCAUAUAUUUUGAAAAUAUAAGAAGAAGGUUUAAUCCCUUCAUUAACUU
RNAcentral lists this transfer RNA (69 nucleotides) under Ausejanus albisignatus. RNAcentral describes it as "tRNA-Ser". It matches the Rfam family "tRNA". From Rfam's summary of the family: Transfer RNA (tRNA) molecules are approximately 80 nucleotides in length. The record is from RNAcentral. Lineage: Eukaryota; Metazoa; Arthropoda; Insecta; Hemiptera; Miridae.